UAGUCCACGCCGUAAACGAUGUUCACUCGCUGUAUGCGAUAUACAGUAUGCGGCUAAGCGAAAGCAUUAAGUGAACCACCUGGGGAGUACGAUCGCAAGGUUGAAACUCAAAGGAAUUGACGGGGGCCCGCACAAGCGGAGGAACAUGUGGUUUAAUUCGAUGAUACGCGAGGAACCUUACCUGGGCUUAAAUGUAGGUUGCAUGUAGUGGAAACACUCUUCCCUUCGGGGCUACCUACAAGGUGCUGCAUGGUUGUCGUCAGCUCGUGCCGUGAGGUGUCGGGUUAAGUCCCAUAACGAGCGCAACCCCUAUCGUUAGUUGCCAGCGGGUAAUGCCGGGGACUCUAGCGAGACUGCCACCGUAAGGUGAGAGGAAGGUGGGGAUGACGUCGAAAUCAGCACGGCCCUUAUGUCCAGGGCUACACACGUGUUACAAUGGCCAGUACAGAGGGCUGCUACUCCGCAAGGAGAUGCUAAUCUCGAAAGCUGGUCUCAGUUCGGAUC
Molecule: ribosomal RNA, 504 nt
Filed under: uncultured bacterium
Lineage: Bacteria
Description: bacterial SSU rRNA
Rfam family: Bacterial small subunit ribosomal RNA
Source: RNAcentral